Molecule: RNA transcript, 6634 nt
Organism: Columba livia (rock pigeon)
Lineage: Eukaryota; Metazoa; Chordata; Aves; Columbiformes; Columbidae
Gene name: olfactory receptor 14J1
Exons: 2
Source: RefSeq, a predicted model, not a curated record
GGGAUGCUGUGACUCUGUGACCCUGCACUGCGGGUCCCAGCACCCCCAGGAUGUUCCACAGGAACUGCAGCUUGUCCUUUUCGGGCCGAUUUCUGAAAAACCCCUGGCUCUUGUGCCGGGCUGCACCUCCCGUCCGGGUACCCCGGGCUGACAGCGGGGCCGCUCCGGUCCCUCCCGCGGGCUCUGCCCGCUCGGAGCAGCAAGGCCGGCGAUGGGGAGGGGUUCCCGGGGGGCAGAGCCCGUCCCGCGGGGCUGCGGGGGCGUUUCUAGGCAGGCUCCGCGCUCAACAGCCCCGUCGCUGGGGCAGCGGGCAUUCCCAGCCCGGCGCUGCGGCAGACAGCCCUGUUGCUACGGCUGCGGGGCCUUCCAGGCCGGACCCCGCGCGGCGCGGCCCCUGUCGCCAUGGUAACGGGCCCUUCCGGUGCGGGCGGCGCGCAGCAUGGCGGUGCCGCUGCCGAGCGCGGCGCUGUGCGGCGUCCGGAGCGGGCGGCGAUCGGCACGGCCGCUGUGCUCUCUCAGGGCAGCCCCGCUGGGGCCGAUGCCCAAUGAGGAUCUUGAUGUCGGCAACUUAGAAGCGCUGGAAAAACCCCGCAGUCGCAGUCGGUGCUUGAGGCUGGCGGAGAAGGAGCAGGGAGCCGGCUGGGGCAGACGGCCCGGCAGCACAGCAGCCCCAGCCGGGUCCUCGCCCAGGGGGCUGCGCUGUGCGGGGUUUGGAGGUCAAGAAAGCUGUUGCUGGAGCUGCAUUUUGCCCCAAUCUGCGCCCUGGAAAGAGCUGAUGAGGGGCUUUGGCACAAGGUUGGCCCUUUUCUGAUGUGGAAGCUUGCAGAGUGCAAAUGUUUCAGGGAAGCUGAUGGCAGUUUUCUGGGAGGAGGGAGGCAGGCCAGGACCCGCCAAGAGACAUGGGAUUUAGGGAUAGGAAUUAGGAUUAGGGUAAGGGUUGGAUUAGUUUUAAGUUUAGGGGCUAGGCAGUAGUGUUAGAAGAGGUGGUUAGGUUUAGGUUUCAUAAUUCUGUUGGAGAUGGGGAUUCGGGUUGAUGGUUAGGGAGUAAUGUUGUUGUAAAUCGUUAAGAUUAGCAUAAGAGAUUAGGUUUAGGGGUGAGGCUAGAGUUAGGGUUAGGAUUCUGUUUAGAGGUUGGGUUAGGGUUAGAUUUCAGGUUAGAGUUAGGGUUGGGGUUGGGUUAGGUUGGUUUAAAGCUUAUGGUUAGAGUUAGGUUAGUGAUAGGGUUCUGGUUAGGUUAAGGUUAGGGUUUAGGUUUAGUGUUAGGAUUAGGGUUCAAGUUAGGGUUAGAGUUAGUAUUAGGGUUUAGGCUUACCAUGAAGGUUAUAGUUAGUGUUAGUGGUCAGCAUUAGGGUUACCAUAAGUGCUGGGUUUGUGUUAGGGAGUAGUGUUAAGGUUACUGGAACUAGGGGUUAGUUUCAGGGUUUAGGGGUUAUUGCUAGAGUUAGGGCGAGGUUUAGAAUGAUGAUUACUGGCUAGGGUUAGGGUUAAGGUUUAGGGCUGAGCUUUAGAGUCAGCUUUAGGGGGUUGGUGUUAGGGUUGGGUAUUAGGGAGAAGAAUUAGGGUUAGAUGUAAGGAUAAGAUUAUGGCUAGGAUAAGUGGUUAGGAUUUAGGGUUAGGGUUAUAGUUCCUUUUAGGGUUAGAUUAGAGUUAGUGAUCGGGUAGCGUUACCAGUUGGAGGAAAGGUUAGAUUUUGGGUUUGAUGUUAGAGUUAGAUUUUGGGUUGGGGGUAUUGUUAGUUUAGGGUUUGGAUUUCUACUUAUGUUAUGUUACUCUUACGGUUAGAGUUAGGGGUUUGUCUUAAAUUUUAGGAUUAGAUUUAGGAUUAGUAUUUGGGUUUACAUUUAGGCUUAAGUUUUAGGAUUUGGUUUAGGGUAAUGGUUGGAUUAGGGUUAGUGUUAGAGGUUCUGGAGUUUUGUUAAGGGUAGAGUUAAGUUUUGGGGUUAGAUUUAUGGUUAGAUCAGGGUUAGGGCAUUGAAUUAGUUUAGAGUUAGGGUUAGAGGUUGGUCUUAGAUUUAGCCUUUGCUUUAGGAUUACAGUAAGUGAUUGGACUAACAUUAGAGAGUUAGGUUUAGGGAUAGUUGUUAGGGGUAGGGUUAGGGUUAUUAUUAGAGUUUGAUUAGGAUUGGGUUUCGGGUUUAUGGGUAGGGAUGUGGUUAGUGGUAAGGGUUAGUAUUAGGGUUAGUGUUAGAGGUAAGGAUUAAGGUUAGGGGUUAGGGAAUAGUGUUAGUAUAAGCAGUUAGACUUCAGGUUUAGGGGGAAAGGGUAGGAUAUGGUUAAGGUUAGCACUAUUUGUAGGUAUUACAGUUAGGGUUAGGUUUAGGUUAGGGGUUAGUGUUAGGGGUCAGAGUAAGAAUUAGGGUUAGGGGUUAGGGUUAGAGGUCAGGUUAGGGUUACCAUUACAUUUUUUAUUAAAUUUAGGGUUAGAAUUAGGCUUAGAAUUUAGAUUUAGAGUUAAGAUUUGAGUUAAGGAUAGGGAUUAGGAUUAGGGUUAGGGUAAGGCUUGGAUUGGAGUUAGAUGUGGGGGUUAGGGAUUUGUGUUAUUUGAAUGGUUAGGUUUAGGUUUUAGAUUUAUAUUGAAGGGUUAGGGACAGGACACUGGGUUAGGCUUAGAGGUAGUGUUAAUGUUAUUUUCGGGAUAGGGCUUUAGACUUAAAGUUAGUCUUAGAAUUAUGGGUUAGGAUUUAGCAUUAGAUUAGAGAUAGGUUUAGGUUAGGGUUUAGGGUUAGGCUUAGAGGUUGAGUUAAUGGUUUGGGUUAGAUAUUAGGGUUGGGUUAGUGUUAAUUUUAGUAUAAGUGCUCAGGGUUGGUGUCUGGGUUCAUGGGCUAGGGAUAGAAAUGAGGCUAGGAUUAGAUUAGAGUUAGGUUUAGGUUUAAGGUUUGUUUUAGAGGUGAAUUUAGGGGUUAGGCAUAGAUUUCAGGUUAGAGUUAGGAUUAGUGUUGGGUCUGGGUUAGGGUUAGGUUAGUUUAGGGUUACCAUUGAGGUUAGGUUAGUGAUAGGAUUAGUGUUAGGUUAGGGUUAGAGUUUAGGAUUGGGGUUAGAGUUUAAGGUUACUGUUAGGGUUAGAGUCAGGGUUAGGGCUCAGUUUUUGAUUUAUGGUUAUGGUUAGUGGUAGGGGUUAGGAUUAAGGUUGAGGUAAGGGUUGGAAUAGUGUUAGGUUUUGGGGUUAGGGUCAGUGGAAGUGGUUAGGCUUAGAGGUUAGAUUUAUGGGUCAGGGACAGGGAUAGGGUUAGGGUUAUGUUUAGAUUUAGGUUUAUGGUUUAAGUCAGAGGUAGGGUUAGGGUUUGAGUUUGGACUUAGACUCAGGCUUUAAUUUAAGAUUAGAGUGAGGGUAUGGGUUAAGCAUUAUGGUUAGUUUUUUUUAGGGAUAGAUGUUAGGCUUACAGUUAGAGUUAGGUUUUGAAUAGGGUUAGGGUUUGCGGGUGGGAGUAGAGAUUAGGUUAGGGUUAGAGUUACUGUUAGGGGUUAGGAUCAGGGUUGAGGUUUAGCAAGUAGCAUUAAUGUAAGUAGUUAGGGUUUAGUUGUAGGGGUUAGGGGUAGUGAUUAGAGAGAAGAGUUAGGAUUAUAGUUAAGGAUAGGGUUAGGGUUAGCAGUUAUGACUUAGGGUUAGGGUUUCAGCUAGGGUUAGAUGAUGGUUAGGGUUAGAGUUGGCUUUACCAGUUGGGGGAAGGGUUAGAGUUAGGGUCUGGUGUUGCGGUCUUGGUUAGGGCUAGAGUUAGCGUUAGAUUUUAGGGUUAGACUUGGAGUUAGGGCUAGGAAUUACAGUUAAGGUUAGUGUUAGGGUUAAAGUUAGGGCUUAGUUUAAGGGUUAAGUUAGGUUUAAGAGUUAGGAUUGCAUUUAGAGUUAGGGUUAGCAUUAGGGUUAUGAUUUGGAUAAGGGUUAGUGUUAGAUAAGGUUUGGGGUUAGGUUUAGAUUAGGGUUAGGGAAUAGAGUUAGAGUCAGGGCAGGAUUAGAGUUCAGGUUAGGUUUAGGGGUAAGGGCGUAUGGUUAGUAUUUGAGGUUAGGCAUUUGAGUUAGGGUUAGGGGUUAGUUUUCAGGUUAGGGUUAGGCUUACUGUCAGGGUUAGGUUUAGGAUUAGGAGUUUCGGUUAGGCUUAGGGUUAGAAUUGGGGUAAGGGCUUGGGGUUAUGAUUAGAUUAGUUUUAGGUUAGUGUUAGGGUUGGUGGUAGGGGUUUAGUUAGGGUUAGGAGUUAGGGAGUAGUGUUAUUGUAAGUGGUUAGGAUUAGUGUAAGGGGGUAGGGUUAGGGGUGGGGAUAGGGUUAAGGUUAGAAUGAUGGGUUAGGGUUGCAGUUAGGAUUUGGGAUUAGGGGUUAGAGUUAGGUUUUGGGACAGGGGUUUGGGGUUCAGGUUAGAGUAAGGGUUAGGAUUGAGGAUAAGGGUUAGGCUUUGGGUAAGUGUUGGGUUAGUGUUAAGGGUUGGGGUUAGGGAGUAGUGGAAGUGGUUAGGAGUAGGUUUAGGUAUUAGGGUUAGAUUUCAGGUUAGGGUUUGGAUUUACAUUUAGGGUUAGGUUAGUGUUCAGGUUAAAAUUAGGGUUAGUGGUUAGUUUUGGAUUUACAGGUAGGGUUAGGUUUAGGGGUCAGGGUGUUGUGUCAGUGGAAGUGGUUAAGGUUAGGGGUAGUUUUAGGAUUUAGGGUUUGAGUUAGGGUUAAGUUUUAGGUUAGAUUAGAGUUAGGGGAUGGUGUUUACAGUUAGACUUAUGGUUAGGGGUUUGGACGAGGUUUACAGUUAGGAUUAGAUUUUGGUUUUACACUUGGUCUUUUUUUAGGAUUACAGUAAGUGUCUGGACUAAGUGUUAGGGUGAGUGUUAGGGGUCGGUGUUAGGGGGUAGGGUUAGGGUAGUAUUAGGGUUUGAUUAGGGUUACAGUUGGGUAUUAGUAGGUAGAGAUAUGGAUAGGGGUUAGUGGCACAGGAUAGAGUAAGAGUUAGUGUUAAGGGCUAGGAUUAGGGUUUAUGGAGUAGUGUUGAGGUUAGUGUUAGGGCUAAGGAUUAGUCUUUGGAGUUAGGGAAUAGUAUUAGUAUAAGCAGUUAGGGUUAGGUUUUAAUAUUAUGGGUAAAAAGGGUAGGACUAGGGUUAGGGUUAGAGUUAGGAUUAUGGCUAAGUAUUAGAGUUAGAUUAGGUUUAGAAAAAGGUUAGAGUUUAGGGUUGGAGUUAGCAUUAGGGGUUAGUUUUACGGUUUGGGUUAGAGUUAGGAUUAUGUUUUAGCUUUAGAUUUAGGUUAGAGUUAGGGAUGGGGUUAGGAUUAGGGUUAGGGUUAGUGUUAGGCAGUAGUGUUAGUGGAAUGGUCAGAGUUAGGUUAGGGGUUAGGAUUAGGGUCAGAGUUAGGGUUAGAAUUGGGGUAAGGGCUUGGGGUUACAGUUAGAUUAGUUUUAGGUUAGUGUUAGGGUUGGGGGUAGGGGUUUAGUUAGGGUUAGAGGUUAGGGAGUAGUGUUAUUGUAAGUGGUUAGGAUUAGUGUAAGGGGGUAGGGUUAGGGGUGGGGAUAGGGUUAAGGUUAGAAUGAUGGGUUAGGGUUGCAGUUAGGGUUUGUGACUAGGGCGUAGAGUUAGGUUUUGGGACAGGGGUUUAGCUCAGGGUCCCAGGGGGAUUUUGAGGUACCAAGGCCUGGAUGAAGAGCUCCCUUCUUGGUCGCACACAUCCCAAAAGACAGGGACACGUCUGUGCCUGAUCUGCCUGGCGCUGUCCCACCAGCAGUGGCAGAUGCGUCCUGGAGAGGAGUGGAGCUGCCAGGCACUGUCAGAGGAUCUCCCUGAGGUGCCACUCGCUGCCCACCCAGACUCACACCCUGUCCCUGGCUGUGACAGAUACAGCAGCUACGAGCUCUGGACACAGGACACAACAGUCCAACAGCAAAGACCAUCUCUCCUGUCCUGAAAGACUCUUAUGACCCCUGGAGCCCAAAGCCACGGACCACAUGAACUCAUUGGACAUUUCAGAGGCGUGGCCUAUAGACUGAGGAAUGAGAUCUGUGUGUAUAUCCAGAGAUAGGAAAAGUGCUGUUGAUUAACUGGAAUGUAUUGGAGAGUGUGGGACCCGGGCACAACACAGAUGGUACAGAAUAAGGGGGGGCACUGUCCUGGUUUCAGCUGGGAGAGAGUUAAUUUUCUUCCUAGUAGCUGGUAGAGUGCGGUGUGUUGGAUUUAAUCUGAGAAGAAUGUUGAUAGCACAGGGAUGUUUUGGUUGUUGCUAAGCCAUGUUUAUCCCAAACCAAGGACUUUUCAGCAAGGAGGCUGGAGAUGCACAAGAAGCUGGGAGGGGCACAGGCAGGACAGCUGGCCCAAGUGGCCAAAGGGAUGUUCCACACCAUAUGAUGUCAUGCUUGGUGUGUAAACUAGAGAAGAGUUAUCUGGGGGACCGCUGUUUGGGAUCUGGCUGCGUGUCGCUCGAUGGGUUGUGAGCAAUUGCAUUGUGCGUGACUUGGUUUAUAUCUCCUCUUAUUAUUACCAUUUUUGCAAUUACUACUAUUACUACUGCCAUUGUUAUUAUUAUAAUUACUAUUACUAUAAUUAUUUUAUUUAUUAUCACUAUUAUAUUUAUUGUAGCUAUUGUAGCUGUUGUAGCAAUGUAGCUAUUGUAGCUAUUGUUACUAUUGUUAUUGUUUUCCCUUUCUGUCUCAUUAAACUGUCUUCAUUUUAACCCAA